This 468-nucleotide ribosomal RNA is filed under the name uncultured bacterium. RNAcentral describes it as "partial 16S ribosomal RNA". It matches the Rfam family "Bacterial small subunit ribosomal RNA", at positions 28 to 507 of the family's 1533-position model. The record is from RNAcentral.
GACGAACGCUGGCGGCGUGCUUAACACAUGCAAGUCGAACGGAAAGGCCCUGCUUUUGUGGUGUGCCCGAGUGGCGAACGGGUGAGUAACACGUGAGUAAUCUGCCCUUGAUUUUGGGAUAACUUCAGGAAACUGGGGCUAAUACAGGAUAGGUGCUCCUGCUGCAUGGUGGGGGUUGGAAAGUUUCGGCGGUUGGGGAUGGACUGGUGGCGUAUCAGCUUGUUGGGGGGGUAGUGGCUUACCAAGGCUUUGACGGGUAGCCGGCCUGAGAGGGUGACCGGCCACAUUGGGAUGGGGAUGCGACCCGGACUCCAACGGGAGGCAGCGGUGGGGAAUAGUGCACAAUAGGCGGAGGCCUGAUGCAGCGACGCCGCGUGCGGGAUGACGGCCAUCGGGUUGGAAACCGCUUUCGCCUGAGACGAAGAGUGAGUGACGGUACCGGAUAAAGAAGCACCGGCUAACUACGUG